This is a long non-coding RNA of Leopardus geoffroyi (Geoffroy's cat), 7965 nucleotides long. RefSeq lists it as uncharacterized. The transcript is spliced from 4 exons. The record is from RefSeq and is a predicted model, not a curated record. NCBI's taxonomy places the organism in Eukaryota, Metazoa, Chordata, Mammalia, Carnivora, Felidae.
AGAGUCACAAGAUCAUGACGGAAGCCAAAGUCGGACACCUGACUGAGCCACCCAGGCGCUCCAAAGGUGACAGCUUCUUUUGAUCUUUCACAUUUGCUCCCUGAGAGGAGAAGGUUAACUCACAGUGGGCUAACCAGUUAUCAGAGUCCAGGAUGAAAAAUACAUUCUGUUGUGAAAUUAAUCUUCAGAAAAGCUGGAUUUCAUGAAGCCUAGACACACACACACACACACACACACACACACACACACACACACAGUGAGGGGGGUGGAGAGAGAGAGAUUAACUUUCUAGCUACCUCUUUUUCUAUCAGCUGAACCCAGCAACGUACAAGUCAGGGAAGACUGCCUGGAAUAAAACACACGGAAGAGUUCCUUUGUCCUUUAAAUCUGAACUACUAAAGACUGAAUGGAUUCUUUAGAUUCUUGAAUUCCUUAAAUGACCAACAAACCUAAAGGUUCUCUACUGGAGAUAAUGCAUCUUGUUUUCCACGGAGCCUUAAGGGAUGCUUUAAAUAGCAUCAGCAAGCAUCCGAAUGAAUUAGACAGCAAAUGUAGGUUAGCUUUAUUUAGACAGAUAAAGACAAGCAGAGAAAGUUGUCUGGUUCAAGGGCAGUGCAGCCUGACACGACAGCAUUUCUCAGAGGAGGGGAAAUUGCUUUGGGAGAGAGAGGUAUUUUGGGCAAAGAGCAAAGUUCCUUGGAUCACCAGGGGAAGCAAUGCUAAGUUCUUCAGUACAGAGAAGCAGGAAUUAAGAGUGGCCUGCCACUCAUUGAAGGAAAGAUCUAUAGAUUUAAAAUGUAAAACAGAACUCAGCAUCCCUAAGUUCACAUAUGCAUCCUCUUUUCCCUCUCGCAUUCCUUGGGAGCACCAUCAGAAAGGACACACUUCCCAGAACAUGAGCUAAGGCAGGGAGUUUAUCAGACUCCUCUGGAAUGGGACUCGGCAUCCCCAGCAAGUUCUGCUUCAGGAAGUAUGUCCAGAUGGAGGGCCCCUGAAGAUGGGGGAGCCCAGAAAGCAGGGAAACUGGCAAAUACGAGGGCAUCCACUCAUUAGACAAAAAUGUAGGUGCCUGGAAAAAAGGUGCAGUGCAUGAAUUUGGUUUACUUUUUUCUCCUUUUUCCCCCCAUCCCUUGAAUUAUUUUCUGAAAACAAACUUCUUAUAAAAAGCAGUGGGUCUAGAAAAACGUGUACAACUUUCUGGUUUCAUUUGUUUUUACUGUGUUUAUGGUUUCUUGUCUAACUUUUUGCUAACUUUUCUCCUCAGCGGGCCAAAGUCAAGUGAUAUUUGAUGUCAGCUUGUAGCCCUAUCAGUAAUUUGUUUUAAAAAUAAAAAACAAUUUCAAUCCAUUAUGAUGUUCCAAAUGUAGCACUGAAUUUAGACUUGUAAAAAUAUCUUCAGAAAAAUCUAAAAAUUUAGAUUUGCAUAGAUUUCCAUUUCCUCCAAAUCUAAUUUUUAUAUGUUUCCUUUUUUAAGGGUCUCGUAACUUCUGAAAAUUAUACAUCUUUAAAUGUCGCCAAGGCAGGUAUAGCAGAGGGAAAUACUAUGUUAUAACCCUGUCAUGAAGCAGAAUUUAAGCUUCAUUGUGAAUUAGGCAUGUAUUCCACUUUCUUUGUACUUACCAUUUAAUAAUUCACUUCCUUCUUCCCUCCCUCCCUUCCUCCCCUCCUUCGUUCCUUCCACAGUUAUUUACUGAGAGCCUACCCUACACCAAGAGUGAGCAUCAGACUUACUUGCUCCCCUUCUCCAUUCCUGGGGGAUUCUCUCCCUAAUCAUUGCCUCUCCCCUCUGUCUACCCCAAGCCCAUUCACUACUUACCUGGUAAACUAGCAUAUGGACUAAUAAUGUAUUCAAUUGGGAACUACUGUUUUGCACUUUUACCAAAGCACACAAAACUUCUCUAAUUCACUGCCCCAAACUCAUUAUACUUUUAGCCAUUUGUAAAACUGGCAAAUCAGUUAAUCAUUUUAAUUCUAAGAAGGAGGUGGAAAGCCAAUUCCUGUGACUAUAUUUGUAAAGUAGUAGAGUCAAAAGACUCCUAUGAGACCUGGUACCAUGCUUAUUCCAGUGUUAUACUAACUUUUUUUUUUUAAUGUUCAUUUAUUUUUGAGAGAGAGACAGAGUGAGCAGGGGAGGAGCAGAGAAAGAGGGAGACACAGAAUUGGAAGCAGACGCCAGGCUCAGAGCUGUCAGCACGAAGCCUGACAUGGGGCUUGAACUCAUGAACUAUGAGAUCAUGACCCGAGCCAAAGCUGGACGCUUAACCCACUGAGCCACCCAGGUGCCCCAAAGGUUAUACUAACUUUUAGUAAAACCCCCUCACCUAAAGUCUUCAUUUUUGCAGUUACAAGAAUGUGAUCAAAAGGGAGACUAGUCUUUUAUUCCUUUUUGGUAAAGACACUAACAUUUCUAUAUGAAGUAAAAUGAAAAAACUUAACAUCCCUGAGGGGCGCCUGGCUAGCUCAUUUGAGAGGAAGUGACUUUUGUUUUUUAACCUGUUUUUUCUUUUCUUUUCUUUUCAUUUCUUUUCCUUUUCUUUUCUUUUAUGAAUAUAAUUUAUUGUCAAAUUGGCUUACAUACAACACCCAAUAAGAGAAAGUGACUCUUGAUCUCAGGGUCCUGAGUUUGAGCCCCAUGUUGGGGGUAGAGAUUACUUAAAAAGAAAAGAAGGAAAGAAAGAAAGAAAGAAAAGGAAGGAAAGAAAGAAAGAAAGAAAGAAAGAAAGAAAGAAAGAAGAAAAAGAAAGAAAGAAAGAAAGAAAGACAGAAAGAAAGAAAGAAAGAAAGAAAGAAAGAAAGAAAGAAAAGAAAAGAAAGACAACAAAACUUAACAUCCUUGGGAUCUAUAUUUCUUGCUCUGACAUCUGCAAUCACUUCACUAUUGUUGGAGUAUCUUUAUUAAAAUUCCCAAUUUGUGCUAAUAAUGAGACUUUUUAAGUGUUCUUCAAUAAGUCAAUCUCAGAACUCACUUUUAAUAUUUUUUAAGUGCUGGAGGGAAAAAAAAACACUUGAAUAUGGAGGUAGAAGACAAAGUUAUAAUCGCUAAUCCAAAUAAAUAAAAUACGAUGUACGUAACUUUAAAAAAAUCAUAACAAUCUUUUGUUUGUGUUUUCCGGCGUUCUGCACGUUUGCUACACUACUAUUUCAGUAAUCUUAAUAAUUCUCUGAAGAAGACAAUGCUUUCAUAGUGUUCGACUAGAUAGACUGAGAGUCCCACAUUUUAUUUUUGUUUUGUGACAUUUGUGGCUCUUCAGCGUGACACUGGCAUUCUUCCUCCUCUGAUGCAACUUCCUUCUCUGUUUCACUCUGUUUUGGUCGAGGUUGUUUCAACCUCCCCCCUUCUCUGUGUAGUCUUUCAGCUGGACCAGGAGAGCCCGAGCUGUCGCUUUGUUUUCUGAACAUCCACUUCUGUUUCCUGUGGCAACACCUGCAGAUAAAUACGUAGCUGGCUACCCAAACGGACACUGCCCGCACCCCCUAGACGCUCUCCUCCGCAGGCCCGCGCAGACCCAGUUAACAUUGGAAAUGAAGAGCCCGCUGUGAUGGUGUGAGGAUGCCCCCCCCACCCCCACCCCCAAACAUGUGAAAAUAACUCAGCAAAAAACAGAGCAGCUGCCUGGUCAUCUUCCCCAUCACUGGGAUUUCUUCAGGUAACCAAUAAAUAGCUUGAGGAGACAGAAGAAAGAUACCCUGAAGACUUUCUCCUCCGGGCUUCUUUUCCAGCGUUAGCCAUGGCACUUCUGUUCUACGCUUGAAGCCUCGCAACAUGCAUGCCCGGGGCCGAGGAGCAUAGAGUUGGUAGAGGGAGCCAAUGUUUCCAGAAGAAACUGUGCCACUCCAAAGGGAAAUUAGAAAAGGAGAAAGUGACCCUUGAAUAAAGAAGAGUUUAUUCAUUUAAAGACCCCUCUCCGGGAUUCUUGGCAGGAAGAGUUCACUUUCCUGCUGCAUCAGGGAUUGGAAGGCUAUUCCUCUGUCCAUGGUCCUAUUCCUCUGCUUCAAACAACUUUAGAAGAAUCCAGAGGGAGGUUCAAAUCUGCAAUGUAGAAAAGCAUUGAAGUGUUCUAGAUACAGCUGAGAAGCUGAGAGAAGACGGAAUUUGUGGGUAUAGCAGAUCUUUGGAAUCUUUGAAAAGAAGUUCUGUCUGCAGUAGAUCCCACCAGCAGAAGCGGAUCCUGCUGGACAGCCAUUCUUUUCAAUAUUGAUGAACAGCAUCUAUCCGUGGAGUGAGCUCCACUUGAGCUGAAGCCUGCUUGGUAAGAAUGACACUAUCAUCUCCCUAACAUUUCAUAUUUUGAAAGAAAGCUCUUCCCAUUCCUAAUGCUUCUCAUCAUUUUUCCCCAACACUCCUGUAAGACCAGUCAACAUUCACCUGUGCUUUUAUGGCGAUGAAGAGAGACUAACAAACUCAGUAACUCAACUGAGAAAGAUAUUUUAUGGGCAGCCCAUAGUAAUCGCCUAUCUUUUAAAAAGAAACAACAUUUUUUGAGAUCCCAGGAGGUGUCUGGCACUACACGAAGUGGUAUGAGCAUGAGAGUGCAGAACAUAAUGUUUGGGAACAUAAUGUUCCUCCGGGGACUUAAAAAUUAAUGCAGAUCCAAAACUGUUUUAAAAAAUGUGGGUUGUAAUAAAUUAUGGGAAAACAAAGUGAAAGGUGUAGGGGCAAAAAUCCCAAGCAUAGUGAUGAACUAGAGAACAUGGAAAUGGAAUAUGAUGAGCCAAUUAACCUCAGGAGGACAGAGACUCAUGGUAUGGGCAGAAUACAAGACACUUAUCUUGAGAAGUCAAUUUUGCAGACUCAGUUACUUGUCCACACACACAAAAUCAAUAGCUAUUUCUGAUAGGCUGCUGGCAAAAAAAAAAAAUACUGUUCUUUUCUAUAGAUGGAGUCUAAACCAUCCAGCAUACAAUAAAGUGUUUAAGAGAAAAAAUAUAUGUGGGCUGGCAAGCUUUCAAUCUACAAAGCUGGUGAUCUAGUUUUGGGUGAUAGCUCUAAUGGAAAUAGGUGCAAUUGGGUUUGUAGAUACUGAUUUUUAUCAGCAACCAGAAACUGUGCUAAAAGCUCAAUUUGGCCUACUUUAGGUUCCCCGGGUAAGUUAGCGAGGGAAUUUUCAUUAGGUUAUUUGUUAUAUGUCAAAAGAAGAAAUAAAGCAAUGCAUGAACACUGUGAUAUGUAGGUGAGAAGGUAUCUUAAUAGAAAUACUACUCUAGUCUAGAACAGUGUUUCCCCACCAAGGUGAUGGAAAGUACUGGGAAAUGCAGAGACCUAACUUGUCCUCAGACUGAGCUUUCUUCAUUGCCCCAGAUUUCCAGUUUUAAUAACUUCAACCUUGCUAACCUGCCAGUACUAGGGAAGUCAGUUUCUGUACUGAUGUCAGCCUCUGAUUUGAACUCCCUCAUGGUCAUUGCAACUUUGUUCACUUUUGUAAUUAUUUUUUCACAUUUUCUUGUUUUAUAGCAAUACGAAAAGAUAAAAAUACCUAGAAAUGUUUUUUUUCCAAUGUUGAAGGGAAUAAUUUAGACAGUCACUUCCACAUGGAUAUCUAAUAGGCAUCUCAAACUGAGUACGGCCAAAAGAGAAGUCUUGAUUCUUUCUCUUAAUCUUCUUGAAUCAAACAACCCCAAGAGGCUUAAAUAGAGUUUUACUUUUUUCAUAAAGAGAUGUCUGGAAAUAGAUUAUUUCUGGUGUUAAUUCAGCUGCUCAACUACACCAUCAAGGACCUAGGUAGUUUCUCUUUUUUCCUGUCACUAUCCUUAACAUGUUGGCCUUUAAUUAUCCUGUCUUUUAUUUUGUAGUCACAAGAUGGCUGCUGUGACUCCAGGCAUUGUGAUGGUGCUCAAGAUAGCCAAAUCUGUCCCCAGAAGGCUUUCUCUUAGGUCUCGUUAGCCAGAAAUGAAUCAUUCCUGGCUGCAAAGGAGAUGGGGAAAUUGAGUAUCUAGCAAAAGAGAAUGGGAUUAUUAUAAUUGAAAUGUACUGAUCAUGAUUCAUCACUUGGAGCUGGACAUAUUGUCACCCUCAACAAAGUCAGGGCUCUGUUAGCAAGGAGGAAGAGAACAGCUGUUGGAGAGGGAAGUGACACAGACUGCCACACUUCUUAUUCCCAGCCUACCUGUCUCACUGAAUAGCAUCACCAUCUGCCCAGUGCCUGAGCCAGUAACAGAGGAGAGAGCUUGGAUUCCUUUGUUUCUCUUAUGUCCCCCAUAAAAAAAUACCACACAGUUCUGUUGACUCUACUUCCCCUGUGUACCCCUAAUCCACUCUAUUCGCCCUUAGUCACUGGUAUCCUAGUUCAAGCUACCAUUGUUCACCUGAAUUACUGCAACUGCCCCCUAAAUAAACAGAAACAAUCACUUCCUUGUUUAGAACCUCCCAUCGGCUUCCCAUCUCCUCUAAAAUCCAAAUUUCUUACGCUGACCUUCCAGGCCUAGAAGAUCUAGGUUCUGCUCACUGGUCCAACUUUAUCUUGUUCCACUUUUCUGUUUGCUCCUGACUUCCAACCAUGCAGGGUUUCUUUCUCUUCCUCUGACGCUAACUUGUUACCGUCUUGGGAACAUUGGAACCACCUGUUUUCUCCAUCUAGAGUGCUAUGCAUUUCUGAUCUUUUCAUGACCAGCCCCUCCUUGUCAUUUAGAUCACUGUUCAAAUGUUAUCUCUUCAGAGAGGUCUUCUCUGGCCACCAAUCUAAAACAGCAAACUGGUUGGUCAUCCAUCACUUCAUCCUAUUUUAUUUCUUUAUGUUUGCACCUACCACUGUCUAACAUUAUCUUAUUUACCUCUUUAUGUGUCAUGUAUGAAAUGUAACUAUUUAUUUCCCACCUCCUUCACACUAGAAUAUCAGCUCCAUGACAGGAGAGACCUUGUGUGUUCUGUUCACAGCUGUAUUCCUAGCACCAGAUCAAGGCACAUGGCAGGUUCUCAUCAAAUAUUUCCGAGUGAAUGAAUACAUGAGGGGAAAGAUUUUUUUUAAGCGGAAACUUUAGCAAUAAAAGAACAUCUGUAAACUAUUAUCAGCAUCCUUAGAGUUGUCCUUCACAGAGAAAAAUAACUUUGUUAGUUGAAGGAUGUAAAAUGUGUUAUGCUUUAAAGACAUCACAAUUAAUAAGCAAUACUAAUUUCUUCCACACAGCCUCUUUCCUCCUGUGUCCUACUUUCCAAAGCUUAACAAGCCGCAUGUCUUCAUGCUCUAUCAGUGCAGUUACUAAAUGCCUUCUCCAUUGACUUCUCUCUUUUUGCUCCAAUAAUGUGAUUACCUUUUCUGACCAUUUUCUGAAGUUCUGGGACAAUUUAAAAGAAACAUUUGGGCGAUGUCCUCCUUUCCUCCAUUUUUUGGCCAGAAUUUCAAGACGGGGAAAACCAAAAUGUUCUUGGACAAAGAGAGAAAUAUUUAGCAUCUAAAAUUUUCUGCCUUUUUGUGAGGUUUUCAUAUUUCUGUGUAUGUUCUUCCUAAAGGCUAAAACCGUUUGUACUCUCUUCACCAGAAAACCAGACUUUUCGUAAGACUGUCCUUUGGGUAAAAUGUUAAAAUUGGAGAGAUUGAUCGGCAGCCUUCAUUCAUUUCCCUCCAUGAUCCUUUUAGUCCUUUCCACACCUUCUCAGUCCUGAGGCGACUUUUUGUAAGCCCAGGCUUCUGGAUCAGCAGCCGGCUGGGCCCACGGGCUCAGCCUGCAUACCAGACAUCCCGUGCAUCUGGCGGGCCAUAGCACAUUGAAAUUGUGCACCAGAAUCUUUGAGAAGUUCAACCUCUUCACACUGGGGAUACAGCAUUCUGGUGAUGGAGAUCCAGCAUACUCUAAAAUGCCCCUAUGUUUAGAAACGUUCCCCAAUACUGCUCAUAAAUUACACACAAAGAAUCCCGGGGUGUUUGAACUUCUGGACUUGUCAACAGAAAAUAGCAAGCAAAAUGAUUCUCAUCCUCAAAGGUCUUCUGUGAAUACAUCAUAAACAAGAAUAAACUGUUCCUCUGUACUUAA